CUGGAAUAGCUCAGUUGGUAGAGCAGAGGACUGAAAAUCCUC
RNAcentral lists this transfer RNA (42 nucleotides) under Philonotis marchica. RNAcentral describes it as "partial transfer RNA-Phe". Lineage: Eukaryota; Viridiplantae; Streptophyta; Bryopsida; Bartramiales; Bartramiaceae. The record is from RNAcentral.